UACCAGCUCUCCGAGUGGUAGGGAUGAUUAUUGGGCUUAAAGCGUCCGUAGCCGGCUUAGCAAGUUUCCUGUUAAAUUCGGCGACCUAAUCGUUGAGCCGCGGGAAAUACUACUAGGCUAGGAGGCGGGAGAGGUCGACGGUACUUCUGGGGUAGGGGUGAAAUCCUAUAAUCCCGGGAGGACCACCGGUGGCGAAGGCUGUCGACUAGAACGCGCUCGACGGUGAGGGACGAAAGCUGGGGGAGCGAACCGGAUUAGAUACCCGGGUAGUCCCAGCUGUAAACGAUGCGGGCUAGGUGUUGGGGUGGCUACGUGCCACUUCAGUGCCGCAGGGAAGCCAUUAAGCCCGCCGCCUGGGGAGUACGGCCGCAAGGCUGAAACUUAAAGGAAUUGGCGGGGAGCACCACAAGGCGUGAAGCUUGCGGUUC
RNAcentral lists this ribosomal RNA (428 nucleotides) under uncultured archaeon. Its description in RNAcentral is "bacterial SSU rRNA". It matches the Rfam family "Archaeal small subunit ribosomal RNA", at positions 474 to 903 of the family's 1478-position model. The record is from RNAcentral.